CGUGGAGCCACCAGCAUGGACAUGGUCCACUGCCUGGAGUUUGAUCAGCAGAGCCCUCUCGUCGGCAGGGAGGCCAGGAACUCCCUUGUUCCAGGUGGUGAGGAGGCUCCCCAUCUGUGUAGCAUCCUCUUGUGGAGAAUGAGCUGGGGCUCGCCUCACGCGGGGAGCUUCCGAGCCAGCAAAGAUGGCAAACUAAUUGCAGCGAGUCUUUGGGGGAAAUGAAUAAAUGGACUCGUGCAGGAGCGAGUGACAUGUGCUAGAGGCUAGGAUUUACCUGUGACCAGGAGCUGAUCCCAGGACCUCUUGCACUCAAGGGGAGCAUGAUUUCCAGUGUGGGCCGCCUGGAGGAAGAACGUGUAUGUGACACACUGCAAGGAGCUGGGGAGGACGGCAUGGGUACCGAGACACUGGGCAUGAGCGAAGGCAUCACAUAGCACGGUGGAGCGGCGACCUGCGCUCUGCGGGGAACGUGGAACUUGUGAGAACGUGGGAACAAUGGAACGUGCAGAGCAAAGCGGUGCGUGCAAGGGAAGCAGCACACCCUGGAUGAAGUCGGUCCAAGCUUCUGACGGUGCCCGGGAAGACCCUGUGUUCGGUGACUGGGAAUGUCGACGAAUGACUGAAUGGACAGCCAGACUCCAUGUUGCUGAGAUCUCCGAGCCUUUCCGAAAAGCCGUGAGCAGCGCUCAGUU
Molecule: long non-coding RNA, 692 nt
Organism: Capra hircus (goat)
Lineage: Eukaryota; Metazoa; Chordata; Mammalia; Artiodactyla; Bovidae
Exons: 3
Source: RefSeq, a predicted model, not a curated record